This 59-nucleotide transfer RNA is filed under the name Ctenophora environmental sample. It matches the Rfam family "tRNA", at positions 7 to 64 of the family's 71-position model. Rfam says of the family: Transfer RNA (tRNA) molecules are approximately 80 nucleotides in length. Their secondary structure includes four short double-helical elements and three loops (D, anti-codon, and T loops). The record is from RNAcentral. Lineage: Eukaryota; Metazoa; Ctenophora.
GAUCGUCCAACGGCAGGACUACGGACUCUGACUCCGUCAAUCAAGGUUCGAAUCCUUGU